UACGAGUAAGCUCUACCCGUCGUUGUGA
Molecule: small RNA, 28 nt
Filed under: Bombyx mori (domestic silkworm)
Lineage: Eukaryota; Metazoa; Arthropoda; Insecta; Lepidoptera; Bombycidae
Description: ovarian small RNA-21009
Source: RNAcentral